This 377-nucleotide unclassified non-coding RNA is filed under the name uncultured Pseudomonadota bacterium. RNAcentral describes it as "uncultured proteobacterium contains 16S-23S intergenic spacer region". The record is from RNAcentral. Lineage: Bacteria; Pseudomonadati; Pseudomonadota.
UCCGGCUUAUCACCGGCAGUUCCUCUAGAGUGCUCAACUAAAUGGUAGCAACUAAAGACGAGGGUUGCGCUCGUUGCGGGACUUAACCCAACAUCUCACGACACGAGCUGACGUCAGCCAUGCAGCACCUGUGUGUAGGUCCCGUAAGGGAAGGAAUCCAUCUCUGGAAACCGUCCUACCAUGUCAAACGCUGGUAAGGUUCUGCGCGUUGCUUCGAAUUAAUCCACAUGCUCCGCCGCUUGUGCGGGCCCCCGUCAAUUUCUUUGAGUUUCAGCCUUGCGACCAUACUCCCCAGGCGGAGCACUUACCAAAUUGUCUCCGACAGACACCGAUAGCUCGGCAUCCAUCUAGUGCUCAUAGUUUACGGCGUGGACUAC